AUACCUGUUAAAAAAACCAUACCAUACUGUUACACAUUAGUUAAGACUAGGAAAUUUAGAAAACAGAUUAAUUGUGUCUUUUUGUUUUUAAAAGCUUCUUUAGUAGACUAGCAACGAGGAUCACACGCUGCUUUGGAGAAAGUUGUCUGUCUUUACAGGUGCCAGUCUUCUCCUAAUAUAUCAGUAUUUCAGAGCAAAGCUUGUGAAAUUUGCUUUGGAUUCUUCCUUGAGACACUUAAUGCUGGAUUUUGAGAACUGUCCACCUUCAUCCUGCUGAAGUCGGACACAAUACAAGACAGUGAGUGUCAGGAACAAAAUGGAAUGCUCGGGCAAUGGAGAAGCAAUUACCUGCUCGUUACCUGACUUCAAGUUGAUGAGGUAAAAUUCAUAUUCAAAGCAGCCUUUAGGAAAAGUAGAAAGCGGCUUCUCCCAUGUGGCCACAAGAUCAUUUUGCUCUAAGAAUACAGUGACAUUUCUGGGAACGUUCACCUUCUCUACGAAAAGAAAAUCAUACCAGUAAGUUAAAUAUAGAGUGAAGUUUAAGCACUAGCAAUCGAAACAGCUUAUAAAUUGAUCAAGUGUUCAAGUAGGGCCUAUAAUUUUUGAAGGAAUUUCACAUUUUAAGCAGAAAAUGUAAUGAUUAAAGAGGAAUAACUGGAUUACACAAAAUAAUUAAAGGAAAGGAGUUGAAAAAGUCCAGUUAUAAGCUUAGAAGUUAUAAGUUUAGAAAAACUAGGUUAUUGAAGGAGACAUUAUGGAAUUAUUAUUUGCAAAAUCAUGAAAUUAAUCAUAGACUGAUUCAAACUCUUAUUUUUUUAAGCAUAACCAGAAAAGUUACUGAAAUCUGGAAAAAAAUCAGCAGCAGCUAGUUGGGGGAUUGAUAACACUAAUAUUCUCUUAAAAAUCUUUUACAAUUCUGCUGGACUUUAUUCAUUUAAUUGUUUGUUUGUUUCUACUCACCAAUGGCAUUUUGGUUAAAUAACUGCUGAAAAGGCUUGAUUGCAGCAUACUUGCUGGAGCCAUUAAUGUGUAUUACAAUGAGCUCAUCAAUCUCACCGGGAGCAAUAUGAGUCACUGAGAAUCUGCACUCUACAUUCCUGUUCCACUUGUCUUUGAUAUAAUCUUGGCAUUCUUCUGUGUAGGUCUCAUACCUAAAUUAAAACACUCGUGAGAAAUGCUCUCGAAGAAAUUUCGUGUUGAGUAAAAUGGGAGAAGAUACCAACCUGUAGAAUAGAAAGUACUUAGUAUCUUCUGGUGCCUCUUUGCCAGGAAGCCAAGUGCAAUGGAGAGAAACAGUGCUGGAAACGGUGAAGUGAGUAACACAGGACAAAUCAGUGACAGCUGUAUUUUCAGCACCUAUAGAAACACAGAAUUGUAAGACAGGAAGAAAAUAAACACUUGUUACUUGUCGCAUGAAAUUGGCACUUCUAAGACACUUUGACUACAGUCUUUUGUCCAUUUUAUCUAGGUUGUGUCCAGUCCUGGUAUUGAUCACACGGUUCUAUCAGUUAUGGAAGGAUGGAGAUUCCAAAAAAUCACCAGUAGGGUUAUACCACACAGCACCAUUACGUGCUUUCUGUACACUUUGGGAUUCAAGGCAGUGUCAUCUGUUGCCAUCCUUGAGUGGAUGGGAGUAGGUUAUCUUAGCUUUAGCAAGUAAUGUUUAGAAUAUUUUAUAUGGGUUAUCCAUGUUGCAUCUUCAGAUUGCAUACCAGGCUCUGGAGCCAUACAGAAAGGCCCGGAUUAAGUAAUUUUGUAAAACCAUUGUAGCAGAUAGAGAGAGAAAUGCCAUAUUAUUUAGUAUUAGGCCUGUCAUCUUCUGACGUCUACUCCAUAGACCAGUACAGAACACAAAUUCAGACCUCUUUCUCAUUUCUUCUUACCCGGUGGAGGCUGGAGUUCUGCUGUCACCCAGUCACUGGUCAUCUGAAGACCCUUAUGGAAAAGUAACGUCCGGACAUGUGCAGAGAAACCAUUGUGAAGAACAGCUGUUUGGAAACUGUGCUGGCUUUUCAGUUGGAUCCCCCAGUUGGCAAUUGGGCAUCUGUACUGAGCAGGGUUGAUAAGUGCCAUUUUAUUCCUGGAUGUAAAACUGCUGUCUGGAACACUGCCGUUGCUGGAAGGAAAAGGACUUACCUGCUUUAAGCUGAAGUAUGUGUGGCUGGACCAGGAUUCUUAUCCAAAGGAGGAUCAGACAGACUCUCAUCAUGCUGGCCAUAAAGUUUAGAUGGUCAGUGAGAAAAACCAUGCUUCAGAGUAUAUGGCUUGCAAGCAUUCUACAGACAGGCUGAUAGCUAAAACCAAACACAAGCCCAAGUGUUAAGCACGCAGACCACGGAGCAUGCUACAAGUAUUCAUAGCUAUGGGACCAAAGCAAUAAAACCUUGCAGGGCACAGAAUUUUC
Gallus gallus (chicken) is the source of this 2404-nucleotide long non-coding RNA. RefSeq lists it as uncharacterized. NCBI's taxonomy places the organism in Eukaryota, Metazoa, Chordata, Aves, Galliformes, Phasianidae. The transcript is spliced from 4 exons. The record is from RefSeq and is a predicted model, not a curated record.